CAGAUAUCCACCUCCUGCUCGCUCUCCUCACUACCACCUCCCAUCGGUCUUUGCCGUCAUCUUCCUCCCCGUCAUCACCGACAUUGGGCUUCCCACUCCAAUCUCCCUUGGGUGCUUUUCUUUCCACAGAUUUCUGAGAAAGAGAGAUGUUGACCUCUUCCCUGCUCUCCUUGCCAUCACAUCCUAUCAGUCUCUAUCAUCACCUUUCUCUCCAUCAUCACUAGCAUUGGCCUUCCCCUCCGAUCUCCCUCAGGUUUCUUCUCAUAUAUCUCGAAAAAAGAGAAAGAAAUGAAAAGAAAAAAGAAAAAAAAUACCCAACACAAAACCCCAGCCAUCGUCUUGGCUUCCUAUUUAGCUGAUCUAAGCCUCCGGGUGUUUUUUUUCCAAGCAGUGGCAAUAUUUUUUUAUUUUUUUGGCUUUGAACCCUUCUGGAGAGCCAUUUUUAUCAUGAGAA
This 454-nucleotide long non-coding RNA is filed under the name Elaeis guineensis (African oil palm). RNAcentral describes it as "long non-coding RNA (EGUI_LNC051943)". The record is from RNAcentral. Lineage: Eukaryota; Viridiplantae; Streptophyta; Magnoliopsida; Arecales; Arecaceae.